GACGAACGCUGGCGGCGUGCUUAACACAUGCAAGUCGAGCGGUAAGGCCCUUUCGGGGGUACGACGAGCGGCGAACGGGUGAGUAACACGUGGGUGACCUGCCCUCAGCUCUGGGAUAAGCCUGGGAAACCGGGUCUAAUACCGGAUAUGACUCCAUGACGCAUGUUGUGGGGUGGAAAGCCUUGUGCGGCUGAGGAUGGGCCCGCGGCCUAUCAGCUUGUUGGUGGGGUGAGGCCUACCAAGGCGACGACGGGUAGCCGGCCUGAGAGGGCGACCGGCCACACUGGGACUGAGAUACGGCCAGACUCCUACGGGAGGCAGCAGUGGGGAAUCUUGCGCAAUGGGCGAAAGCCUGACGCAGCGACGCCGCGUGAGGGAUGACGGCCUGG
Molecule: ribosomal RNA, 389 nt
Filed under: uncultured bacterium
Lineage: Bacteria
Description: bacterial SSU rRNA
Rfam family: Bacterial small subunit ribosomal RNA
Source: RNAcentral